GAGUGCUUGAAAUCGGUAGGAGGAACCCGGAUGGGCCCGGCUUCGGCGCGCCGACUCAGCCUGGGGUUCUCCCCAGGUGCACUUCUGCGCGCCGGGUCAGCCGCGCCUCGGCGCCGCGCCUCAACCCGGGAGCGGGGCUUUACGGCCAGCUCCCGUCCUGGCGCGGCCCGGGGCCCGGCUGACGGAACGGGCCCCUCCGACCCGUCUAGAAACACGGACCAAGGAGUCUGACACGUGUGCGAGUACCCGGGUGGCAAGCCCGCGUGCGGAAUGAAAGUGAAGGGCAUGCCCUGCCAACCGACCUUGACCUGCUGUGAGGGGUUUGAGUGGAGCACACCUGUCGGGACCCGAAAGAUGGUGAACUAUGCCUGGGUAGGGUGAAGCCAGAGGAAACUCUGGUGGAGGCUCGUAGCGAUACUGACGUGCAAAUCGUUCGUCGAAUCUGGGUAUAGGGGCGAAAGACUAAUCGAACCAUCUAGUAGCUGGUUCCCUCCGAAGUUUCCCUCAGGAUAGCUUGAACGCAACGGUUUUGUCAGGUAAAGCGAAUGAUUAGAGGCCUGUGGGCUGAAACAGCUUGCACCUAUUCUCAAACUUUAAAUGGGCAAGAGGCCCGGGAUGCUUGAGUGAUCCCGGGCGGCGAACGGCGCGUUCAAAGUGGGCCAUUUUUGGUAAGCAGAACUGGCGAUGCGGGAUGAACCGAACGCCGCGCUAAGGUACCCAAGUGUCCGCUCAUCAGAUACCACAAAAGGCGUUGGUACCUCCAGACAGCAGGACGGUGGCCAUGGAAGUCGGAACCCGCUAAGGAGUGUGUAACAACUCACCUGCCGAAGGUACUAGCCCUGAAAAUGGAUGGCGCUCAAGCGGACCACCGAUGCGCGGCCGCCGGCGCGAGCGCGAGGCGCCGGCGAGUAGGAGGGCGCGGGGCUCGCGGCGCAGCCUUGGGCGCGAGCCUGGGUGAAGCGGGCCCCGGUGCAGAUCUUGGUGGUAGUAGCAAAUAUUCAAAUGAGAACUUUGAAGACUGAAGUGGAGAAAGGUUCCGUGUGAACAGCAGUUGGACACGGGUGAGCCGACCCUAAGAGACAGGAAAACUCCGCCGAACGCGGCUGGUUCUGUCAGCCCGUCCGUCGAAAGGGAAUCGGGUUAAUAUUCCCGAGCCAGCGCGUGGAUGGUGGGCGGCGACGCGAACGAACCCGGAGACGCCGGCGGGAGCCCUGGGAAGAGUUCUCUUUUCUUCUUAACUGCCUCCUGCCCUGGAAUCGGUUUAGCCGGAGCGAGGGCUACACGGCAGGCAAAGCACCCUAAGUCUUGGGGUGUCCGGCGCGCUCCCGACGGCCCGUGAAAAUCCGGGGGAGCGGUUCGUUCUCACGCCUGGUCGUACUCAUAACCGCAUCAGGUCUCCAAGGUGAACAGCCUCUAGUCGAUAGAGCAAUGUAGGUAAGGGAAGUCGGCAAAAUGGUUCCGCAACCUCGGGAGAAGGAAUGGCUCUGAAGGCUGGGCGCAGGGGUCCUAGGCUCGAGGCCGGCUGGCUGCGCGGGGACUACGGCCUCACGGCUGCGGAUCCCGCGCGGCCGUCCGGCGGACGGCCUAGGAGCGCUCCGGCUCUCCCUGCGCGACGAACAGCCGCUUCAGAACUGGCGCGGACAAGGGGAAUCCGACUGUUUAAUUAAAACAAAGCAUUGCGAUGGCCCGCGAGGGUGCUGACGCAAUGUGAUUUCUGCCCAGUGCUCUGAAUGUCAAAGUGAAGAAAUUCAACCAAGCGCGGGUAAACGGCGGGGAGUACUAUGACUCUCUUAAGGUAGCCAAAUGCCUCGUCAUCCAAUUAGUGACGCGCAUGAAUGGAUUCGUGAGAUUCCCACUGUCCCUAUCUACUGUCUUAGCGAAACCCCAGCCAAGGGAACGGGCGUUGGAAGAAUCAGCGGGGGAAAGAAGACCCUGUUGAGCUCGACUCUAGUCUGUUACUGUGGAACGACUUGAUGGGUGUAGAAUAUGCGGGAGGGGCAACCCGACAGUGAAAUACCGCAACCGUCAACGUUGUUUUACUUACUCGGUGGCGCGGAGGGAGGCUCGCCUCACUUCUGGAUCCAAGCCGCUUCGUGCGCGCGAUCCGCGUCGGGGACACUAACAGGUGGGGAGUUUGGCUGGGGCGGCACGUCUGUUAAAAAAUAACGCAGGCGCCCGAUUUUGAGCUCAAUGAGAACAGAAAUCUCAUGUGGACCGAAAGGGGAAAAGCUCGGUUGAUUUUGAUUUUCAGUACGAAUACAAACCGCGAAAGCGUGGCCUAUCGAUCCUCUCGUCUUUGGGAAUUUCAAGCUAGAGGUGUCAGAAAAGUUACCACAGGGAUAACUGGCUUGUGGCUGCCAAGCGUUCAUAGCGACGUAGCUUUUUGAUCCUUCGAUGUCGGCUCUUCCUAUCACUGCCUCGCAGCGGGGGCCAAAUGCAGGAUUGUUCACCCACCAACAGGGAACGUGAGCUGGGUUUAGACCGUCGUGAGACAGGUUAGUUUUACCCUACUGCUGUCUGUUUUUCUACGGUAAUUUGGUUCAGUACGAGAGGAACCACCAAUUCGCAUCAUCGGUAUAGCCGCCGCCGGAAACGGCGAUGCGGCGAAGCUGCCAUGCGCCGGAUUAUAACUGAACGCCUCUAAGUUAGAAUCCAUGCCGGAAGGAAAGCCACCUACCGGCCCGGGGACGCCACGAGCAACGGUAGCACUGCCUGAGCCGCGAGCGACCACAAUUCACGGACCCGGGCCGACGAAUCCCUUGCAGACGACUUGAAUAAGGAACGGGGUAUUGUACGCGGCAGAGUGGCCUUGUUGCCACGAUCCGCUGAGAUUCAGCCUUGGUUCUGACGAUUUGU
RNAcentral lists this ribosomal RNA (2856 nucleotides) under Emiliania huxleyi CCMP1516. RNAcentral describes it as "eukaryotic LSU rRNA". It matches the Rfam family "Eukaryotic large subunit ribosomal RNA", at positions 393 to 3401 of the family's 3401-position model. Lineage: Eukaryota; Haptophyta; Isochrysidales; Noelaerhabdaceae. The record is from RNAcentral.